Molecule: ribosomal RNA, 402 nt
Filed under: bacterium
Lineage: Bacteria
Description: partial 16S ribosomal RNA
Rfam family: Bacterial small subunit ribosomal RNA
Source: RNAcentral
UGGGGAAUUUUGCACAAUGGGGGAAACCCUGAUGCAGCGACGCCGCGUGAUUUAGAAGGCCUUCGGGUUGUAAAAAUCUUUUCUAUGGGAAGAAAAUGACAGUACCAUAGGAAUAAGGACCGGCUAAUUACGUGCCAGCAGCCGCGGUAAUACGUAAGGUCCGAGCGUUGUCCGGAAUCAUUGGGCGUAAAGGGUACGUAGGCGGGUAAGCAAGUUAGAAGUGAAAUCCUAUAGCUCAACUAUAGUAAGCUUUUAAAACCGCUCAUCUUGAGGUAUGGAAGGGAAAGUGGAAUUCCUAGUGUAGCGGUGAAAUGCGCAGAUAUUAGGAGGAAUACCGGUGGCGAAGGCGACUUUCUGGCCAUAACCUGACGCUGAGGUACGAAAGCGUGGGUAGCAAGCAGG